Anarrhichthys ocellatus (wolf-eel) is the source of this 464-nucleotide long non-coding RNA. RefSeq lists it as uncharacterized. The record is from RefSeq and is a predicted model, not a curated record. NCBI's taxonomy places the organism in Eukaryota, Metazoa, Chordata, Actinopteri, Perciformes, Anarhichadidae. The transcript is spliced from 3 exons.
CCACGUGUUGCCGUAAAGCGUAUGCCUAGUCGUAAACAUUCCUCUAAUGUGUAAAGGUUGACGCAAGGUGGAAUUUCCGUUAGUUCACACUUAUCGUCGGUUUAUGCACCUCUACUUUAAAAUAAUUCAGCUGAGAGCGCCGGCAAGUGUUGGGAAGUCCAAACAGGGUACAAAAGCUAUAAGUUCCUUUCAGAUCAGAUGUCUUCCCCUGCCUCCGGUAUCCCCCCUGUCCUCCUAAACACAGGGCUUCACAUGCCCCUCCUGGGUUUGGGGACCUACAAGUUGGUGGUUCCUGAAGAUGUGAACCGGGCUGUGGACGCAGCACUGGUUGCUGGUUAUCGGGCCUUUGACAGUGCAGCCGUCUACCAGAAUGAAGCUGAGCUGGGCCGAGCCUUGAAGGAGCUCUUGCCCAAACAUGGCUUAACCAGAGAGGAUGUGUUCAUAACCAGUAAGCUGGGCCCCAA